Molecule: RNA transcript, 3011 nt
Organism: Carya illinoinensis
Lineage: Eukaryota; Viridiplantae; Streptophyta; Magnoliopsida; Fagales; Juglandaceae
Gene name: zinc finger CCCH domain-containing protein 40-like
Exons: 16
Source: RefSeq, a predicted model, not a curated record
UCCAUGUUUGCGGUAUUUCGGAGUGUCUCUUUACAAAAAGGAAAAUGGGUGCAGGUUGGGGUUGGGUUGGGUUGUGCGUUUGUGCCCAAGAAAGCUUAAAAUCGAAGGCUGAGCUCGGGCUUGAUACCUUUUCAGCACCGAAUAUCUGGACGGAAUUCUCUAAUCCCCAUUAUUCUGUUGUCAGCUCCAGUGAUUUUUCUUAAUUAGGAAAACUCUCGUUGGUUUCAUACCUUGUUUUUCACAUUCACCCAUCUCGCUAAGGGAUUCUCCAAGUUCGAAAUAUAAAAAAAUAUAUAUAUAUCAACAUGGUUGAGAGGAAAUUAUUCAAGACGAAGCUGUGCGUGUUGUAUCAGAAGGGCCGCUGCUCUCGCAAUAGUUGCUCGUUCGCGCACGGAAACUCGGAGCUCCGGGGAGUAUCCGGCUCCUAUACUGACCGGAUUGUGCUGGUCGGUUGGGUGGUUGUUUUAUCUCAACGACGACUGUGGUAUUUACAUGGAGAGCUUUAUCAUGGUUAUAAUGCAUCCACGAAUCAUCAAACUAGGCGGGAUCAUCAUGGUAGUGACUUGAGGAGUAAGCUUGGAAGAAGGCACUCUCCACCACAAAGGUUUUCACCAGUGAGAGAUACAAGAGGCCGACAAAAACUUCGUGAGUAUAGCUCUUCCAUGUCACUUGAACGAACAAGAAAACGUAGGAAGAAACAGCACUUUGAUGGUCAAGGUGAUUUUUCUGGAAGUUUGAGAAUCUCUGAGGGAACUGAAGAUCAGAUCAAAGAAGGAAAAACCGUGUCCGCCAAUCCCAGGGAUGUUCUCGAGGAGCAGUUGAAGCAAAUGCAGUUGGAUAUUAAUGUGCUUGAACAUCGGAAACUUCAACUAGGGGUCUUUUUGGAAGAGAGGGUCCAAGAAGCGGAUAGUCUGACUUCUAGAAUUCAAGAGCUUGAGGCUCAAUUAUACAAAGAGAAAGAGGAAUGUAAAAGGAUCACCUCAAGAAUGAAGAAGUUUGUGAAGGCACAGAAUCGUCAUUCACGUAUACAAGAUGAACUGAAGAGAUCACAAGUGCGACUUCAGAAGUUGGGAGAUCAACUUGGUUCUGAUAUUAAUAGAAAUGUUGCCAAUGAAGAGGAUUCCAUAAAUAUUGUGAGUGAUGGAGAAACUGGUGGUUUUCCUGUAACCACUCCACACGAUGAGCUGCAGAAUGAUGCUUCUUCCGGCAAGAAAGGGCUUUGUGUUAAUCAAGAUCCUUCUAAAGGACCAAAACAAGCUGAUUUAACAAAACUAGGACAUCCGGAAAAAACAAUCCGAUCCAAGAAGCUUUCUAGGUGGAAUCUGCAACCUGUUCCACUAAAUGAAGGUAACGAAAUUAAGGCAAUGAACAAUGGAAAUGACAGUACUAAGAGCCUUGCGAAUGAAGGCAAGCUUAAACGAAGAAAAACUGUUACUGCUAGCAUCCUCACUGCAGUUAAGAUGAAGGGUUUGGAGUCAGCACCUGUGGUACCACCAACCAGCAUGGCUGCUCAUGUAGAAGAUGAAGUUGAAAUUGAAUUGGAGGACAGAACUGGAGUGUUUGAAACUGCCACUACAGGAAUUGAGAAAGGACCCGCUAAUGAGAUCAUGGGUGUGCCAUUUCCACUUCCCCCGCCUCCUCCAAUCCGUCAGAAUAGUUAUUCGCUGUAUAAGGGUGAUAAUGAGAACGUGGAUGUGGAUGGGCUCGAAGAAGAGAUUGUUAAUGUAGACACUAUUUGAUAUUUAAAUGCAUUGUAUUUAAAAAAGAAAAAAAUUGAUGGAAAAAUCACAUCAAGGUAGGAAUAUGAAAUCAAACUCAGAAUGCCUGAAUUUUGACCACCUGAAACAAACAUGACUAAGAAAAGCCAAAGCACCAUUGCUGAUGCUGCUGCUGCCACUGCCACUGCCACUGCAAAUAAUCUGACAAUGAGAAUAAUUUGGACAGAUAAAAUGUUGGAAAAUUAUCUUGACGUAUGUAUUAGCGAGGUUCAGGCUGGUAACCGCCCAAGAACACAUUUUAAUAAGAUAGGGUGGAGAAACGUGAUAAACAAAUUUAGUGAAAAGAUGGGCAGACAAUAUUCCUAUAAACAACUUAAGAACAAAUGGGAUAAUUUGAAAAAAGAUUGGAAUAUUUGGAUGAAAUUAAUAGGAAAUGAAACUGGCCUUGGAUGGGAUCCAGUGAAAAAAACAAUUGAUGCUACCGAGGCUUGGUGGGCAAAAAAGUUGCAGGAAAUUCCAGAAGCAGCUAAGUUUCAGAGUGUAGGUUUGGCUCAUGUUGCAAAGAUGAAAAUAUUGUUUAACGAUAUAACUACCACCAAUGAGAUGGCUUGGGCACCUUCCUCUAGGCUGCCUUUUGAUGAUAUUGGUUCCGCAACUGAUGCAGGUGUGAGUUGUGACAAGGAUAAAAAUGUGUUGUUAGAGCAUUUAGAUGACUCGGAUGACGAAUCUGAUCUCGAUGCAAAUGAUAGUGAUGAUAUUUCUGCUGAUUUUGACACCCAGGAUAAAGGAAAGAAAUGGUUUAGUUCUAGAGUGCAAGUUAGGAAAAGGAAAAAUGAAGUUCAAAUCAUUGAUCAACACUUCAGUCGUAUUUGUGAUGCACUAGAAAGGAGUUUAAUGAGAUCCGGGGAUAUUGAUAAACCUAGAUGUAGUAUUAAAGAGGUCAUGGAUGUUGUCUUCGAGAUUAUCAAGAUAGAAGAUAACAUUGACAUUCUUACGAAGGCGAGCGAGGUACUGCUUACUAGAUCACAUAGAGAGAUGUUCGUGGCCCUUAAAGACCCAGAGUUUCAGCUUGAUUUCAUUAAGCGGAUGGGAAAUAAAAAAGUCAAGAAUUGAAGUGUUAUCGUGUUGUUUUGUUGGGGAGACCUUAUUAUUAUUAUUUUUUUAAAAUGUUGUUUUGUUAUCAACUAUCUGAAAAAUUGCAAGGUUUUAUCUUUUUGUUGUGUUUUUAAUGGCUGACAGCAUGAAGCAUUGUAAUGCUACUUAAGACAAAUUAUAUCCCUACUCUGUUCAUGA